This 852-nucleotide ribosomal RNA is filed under the name Triticum aestivum (bread wheat). RNAcentral's name for it is "partial small subunit ribosomal RNA". Lineage: Eukaryota; Viridiplantae; Streptophyta; Magnoliopsida; Poales; Poaceae. The record is from RNAcentral.
AUGUGUACGGACAGUAGAGCCGUUAACAAGAUCACCGUAAGGUAUAGAUUCCCUAUUCCCCGUCUGGAUGAUAUGUUGGAUCAGCUUAGUGGAGCAAGAGUGUUCACAAAGCUAGAUUUGAGAAGUGGAUAUCAUCAAAUCCGUAUAAGACCCAUGGAUGAAUGGAAGACCGCCUUCAAGACAAAGCAAGGGUUGUUUGAAUGGCUAGUCAUGCCAUUUGGACUCUCAAAUGCACCAAGUAUCUUUAUGCACUUAAUGAAUCAAGUCGUUAGACCCUUCUUAUCCCACUUUGUUGUGGUCUAUUUUGAUGACAUCUUGAUCUAUAGCAAGGAUGAGGAUGAACACUUUGAUCACAUUCGGAAGGUGCUAGAAGUACUAAGGGAAAAUGAGCUCUACGUCAACUUGAAGAAAUGUGUUUUCCUACAAACACAACUUAUUUUCCUAGGAUUCAUCAUAACAUGUGAAAGUAUUUGUGUUGAUGAUUCUAAGGUUGAAGCAAUCCGAGAAUGGCCAACUCCUAAGACCAUUUAUGAGGUAAGAAGCUUUCAUGGCCUUGCAACUUUCUAUAGGCGAUUUGUGAAGAAUUUCAGCACUAUAAUGGCACCAAUUACUGAGUGUUUGAAGAAAGGAAAUUUCCGAUGGAUAGAAGCAGCUGAAGCUUGUUUCAAUGAGAUUAAACAAAAGCUAUCACAAGCUCUUGUCUUGGUACUACCUGAUUUCAACAAGACUUUUGAGUUGGAGUGUGAUGCAAGUGGAGUAGGCAUUGGAGAUGUCCUAUCUCAAGAAAGGAAUCCCAUUGCUUUCUUUAGUGAGAAGUUAAGUGAAGCUAGACAGAAAUGGAGUACCUAUUAG